RNAcentral lists this ribosomal RNA (469 nucleotides) under uncultured bacterium. Its description in RNAcentral is "partial 16S ribosomal RNA". It matches the Rfam family "Bacterial small subunit ribosomal RNA", at positions 28 to 507 of the family's 1533-position model. The record is from RNAcentral.
GAUGAACGCUGGCGGCGUGCUUAACACAUGCAAGUCGAACGGAAAGGCCCAAGCUUGCUUGGGUACUCGAUUGGCGAACGGGUGAGUAACACGUGGGGGAACUGCCCUUCACUUCGGGAGAAACCUGGGAAACUGGGGCUCAUACCGGAUAUGACGUUGGGUUGGAUGCCAUUGUGGACAGUUUUUUCGGUGUGGGAUGAGCUCGCGGCGUAUCAGCUUGUUGGUGGGGUAAUGGCCGACGAAGGCGUCGCCGGGGGGCCGGCCAGAGAGGAUGUGAGGCAAGAUUCAGACUGAGAUGCGACGCAGAAGUCUACGGGAGGCAGCAGUGGGCGAUAGGGGAACAGGGGAGCACGGCUGAUGCAGCGACGCCGCGUGGGGGGUGACAGCCUUCUGGUUGUAAACUACUUACGCUAGGGAAGAUGCGUAUUUGUGACGGUACCUGGAUAAGAAGCACCGGGCUAAUACGGGG